AUGCAGGUGCUUUACGGCACUUGCAAUUGGAAUGAACGUGGUGUAAACAGCCUAGUAAGGAUCAAUUGGAGGACAAGUCUGGUGCCAGCACCCGCGGUAAUUCCAGCUCCAAUAGCGUAUAUUAAAGUUGUUGCAGUUAAAACGCUCGUAGUCGGAAUCAGGGGCUGCUUCAGUUUCGGUCUGCUGGGGACAGUGUGCACUGAACUGAACUCCUCUUACUUUGCGAACGGGGCGUGUUUGGCCUUAACUGGCCGAGCACCGUCUCUCGCAUCUUUUACCGUGAGUAAAUUAGAGUGCUCUAAGCAGGCCUUUCGGCUUGAAUAUUUUAGCAUGGGAUAAUCGAACACGACGCUUGUCUUGUUCGUUGGUUGGCGAGCUGGCGUAAUGAUCAACAGGAACAAGCGGGGGCAUUUAUAUUGCUUGGGGAGGGGUGAAAUCCUUGGAUCCAAGCAAGAUAAACUACUGCAAAAGCAUUUGCCAAGUGUGUUUCCAUUGAUCAAGAACGAAAGUUUGGGGAUCGAAGACGAUCAGAUACCGUCGUAGUCCAAACUAUAAACGAUGGCGACCACAACUUGAGUAGUGUUACUUGAAACCUCCCCAUGAUGUAGCGAGAAAUCAGAGUGUUUGGCUUCCGGGGGGAGUAUGGUCGCAAGGCUGAAACUUAAAGGAAUUGACGGAAGGACACCACCAGGAGUGGAGCCUGCGGCUUAAUUUGACCCAACACGGGAGAACUCACGAGGUCCAGACAUAAGUAUGAUUGACAGAUUGAACGCUCUUUCUUGAUUUUAUGGGUGGUGGUGCAUGGCCGUUCUUAGUUCGUGGAUUGAUUUGUCUGGUUGAUUCCGAUAACGAACGAGAUCUCAACCUGCUAAAUAGCAAACGUAGUCUCCUGCUGGGUGAAUGCAGGGGUCUGCAUGGCCUCCGGGUUGUGUGGCCUCUGUUGGAUCUCGGGAGAUCUAGCGUUACGGCUUCUUAGAGGGACUGCUUCAGUUAAUGGAGAGGAGGUUUGAGGCAAUAACAGGUCUGUGAUGCCCUUAGAUGUUCUCGGCUGCACGCGCGCUACACUGAUGGUUCUAAUUAGUCUCCUGGGCCGAGAGGCUCGGGAAAUCUGAGAAAGAUCAUCGUGCUGGGGAUAGAUCAUUGCAAUUGUCGGUCUUAAACGAGGAAUUCCUAGUAAGUGCAAGUCAUCAGCUUGCGCUGAUUACGUCCCUGUCCUUUGUACACACCGCCCGUCGCUCCUACCGAUUGAAUGGUCCGAUGAAAUCUGCGGAUUGUGGGGGGAAGUUCACUCAGAACCUCGGGAGAAGCUGAUUAAAUCUUAUCAUUUAGAGGAAGGAGAAGUCGUAACAAGGU
Molecule: ribosomal RNA, 1353 nt
Filed under: metagenome
Description: SSU rRNA
Rfam family: Eukaryotic small subunit ribosomal RNA
Source: RNAcentral